This 301-nucleotide ribosomal RNA is filed under the name uncultured bacterium. RNAcentral describes it as "partial 16S ribosomal RNA". It matches the Rfam family "Bacterial small subunit ribosomal RNA", at positions 509 to 809 of the family's 1533-position model. The record is from RNAcentral.
CAGUCGCCACGGGAAUACGUAGGUGGCAAGCGUUGUCCGGAAUUAUUGGGCGUAAAGCGCGCGCAGGCGGAUAGGUCAGUCUGUCUUAAAAGUUCGGGGCUUAACCCCGUCAUGGGAUGGAAACUGCCAAUCUAGAGUAUCGGAGAGGAAAGUGGAAUUCCUAGUGUAGCGGUGAAAUGCGUAGAUAUUAGGAAGAACACCAGUGGCGAAGGCGACUUUCUGGACGAAAACUGACGCUGGGGCGCGAAAGCCAGGGGAGCGAACGGGAUUAGAUACCCCCGUAGUCCCUGUCUCUUAUCAC